AACGAACGCUGGCGGCAUGCCUAACACAUGCAAGUCGAACGAGAUCUUCGGGUCUAGUGGCGCACGGGUGCGUAACGCGUGGGAAUCUGCCCUUUGGUUCGGAAUAACAGUUGGAAACGACUGCUAAUACCGGAUGAUGACGAAAGUCCAAAGAUUUAUCGCCAGAGGAUGAGCCCGCGUAGGAUUAGCUAGUUGGUGUGGUAAAGGCGCACCAAGGCGACGAUCCUUAGCUGGUCUGAGAGGAUGAUCCGCCACACUGGGACUGAGACACGGCCCAGACUCCUACGGGAGGCAGCAGUGGGGAAUAUUGGACAAUGGGCGAAAGCCUGAUCCAGCAAUGCCGCGUGAGUGAUGAAGGCCUUAGGGUUGUAAGGCUCUUUUACCCGGGAUGAUAAUGACAGUACCGGGAGAAUAAGCUCCGGCUAACUCCGUGCCAGCAGCCGCAGUAA
This 449-nucleotide ribosomal RNA is filed under the name uncultured bacterium. Its description in RNAcentral is "partial 16S ribosomal RNA". It matches the Rfam family "Bacterial small subunit ribosomal RNA", at positions 29 to 523 of the family's 1533-position model. The record is from RNAcentral.